CGCUUCGCCUGCCACGUCUUUGUCUCCCAGGAGUCCAUGAGGCCGGUGGCGCAGAGUGUGGGCCGCGCCUUCCUGGAGUACUACCAAGAGCACCUGGCGUACGCCUGCCCCACGGAGGACAUCUACCUGGAGUAGCCUGCCCACCGCUCUGUCUCCUGGCCGUCUGCUCCAGGCGCAGCUGGGGCUGAGGAUGUCUCAAGAGGCCACCAUGGCUUUGGCAAGGACUGGAUUGGGGGGACAUGGGACCUUACGCUUGUGGGGGUCUGCGGGCUGGGAACUCUCGUCCUCGGUCCCCAGGGCGCAGCUGUUGGGGCUGCGGGGGAGUGGAGCCCCCGUGCCCCUGCUUUUCCUCAGAUCCGUUCUUUCUCUGUGUUGUCCUCCUCCUUCCCUUCCCAGUCUCCCUUUUCUCUCUCCUGGUGUCUCUGCCCCUCUCUGUGCCUGCAAACCUUAUCCUCUAUUCUUCACUUUGGGGUCAGAACUUCGGGGGUGUGGAGGAGGUGCGGCUCUAGGGACAGGUAAUGUCGGCUUCCAAGUGAUGCCCUCCUGCCACUCCCCUGCGAUUUAUAAGGGAAUUUUAAUUUUUAUAGUGAAUCUCAAGGGAUCAUCCCAUCCUUGACCACAGGGACAAGAGGGGCCCCCUCGCCCCAGCCCCACCCCACAUGGAGCUCAGGGGGAAGCAGGGAGGGGUUCCCAAAAGAGCCCUGCGGAGGCUAGGAGUGGUUCUUGAUGCUCACCUGAAGCCCCUAGACGCUGCUAGGAGGGGGGGCCCUCCUGGGCCCCCAAUACCCCUCCGCUUGCCGCUGCUAGCGCACCCCUGCAGUCCAGCGUGCAUCCACCCCACGCACGCCCCGUGCUGUGUUCCUGGGCCCUGCCCAUGGCCUCAAUAAACUCUCUGCUUGGUGUGACAUUGGCUGUUUCUAGAGGGUGCUAAGACAUGGGGCCAGGUGCCCAGGGGCUGCCCAUUGUGGUAGGGACAGAGUCCCCAGUGGCGGGAGUGUUGUGGCAAUCUCACCCUUUUAGCUCUUUCCGAAAUUGUGCCGGGGGUCCCUGCGGUGCUGCUCUGGGGCCUUAUCUGAGGUGCCGUAUCUAGAAGCACCCUUGGGAAUUCUCCCUAGAUACACUCGAUUGGCCACAGAGGAAUCCGAGGCUGUGCAAUGGGGUGUCCUUUCCACGUGCACGGACUGGGGGCCAGCACGGCUCAGGUCAGUGUGUAGUGGGGGCAUGAACUCCUUGAAGAACAAUCUGGCCGGGCACGGUGGCUCACGCUUGUAAUCCCAACACUUUGGGAGGCCGAGCCGGGGCGUAUCACCUGAGGUCAGGAGUUUGAGACCAGCUUGGCCAACAUGGUGAAACCCCAUCUCCACAAAAAAUACAAAAAUUAGCUAGGUGUCCUGGCGCACACCUGUAAUCCCAGCUACUCAGGAGGCUAAGGCAUGAGAAUCGCUUGAACCUGGGAGGCGGAGGUUGCAGUGAGCCAAGAUUGCACCACUGCACUCCAGCCUGGGCGACAGAGGGAGACUCCGUC
Molecule: long non-coding RNA, 1525 nt
Filed under: Homo sapiens (human)
Lineage: Eukaryota; Metazoa; Chordata; Mammalia; Primates; Hominidae
Description: long non-coding RNA NONHSAT192589.1
Source: RNAcentral